AGAGUUUGAUCCUGGCUCAGAACAAACGCUGGCGGCGUGCCUAACACAUGCAAGUCGUACGAGAAAGUCCGCUUCGGUGGAUAAGUAAAGUGGCGCACGGGUGAGUAACGCGUGGAUAAUCUACCCUUAAGUCGGGAAUAACUCAUCGAAAGGUGAAUUAAUACCGGAUAACACUGCAUAACUACUGUUGUGUAGUCAAAGAAGGCCUCUGCUUGCAAGCUUUCGCUGAAGGAUGAGUCCGCGUACCAUUAGCUAGUUGGUAGGGUAAUGGCCUACCAAGGUUAUGAUGGUUAGCUGGUCUGAGAGGAUGAUCAGCCACACUGGAACUGAGACACGGUCCAGACUCCUACGGGAGGCAGCAGUGAGGAAUAUUGCGCAAUGGGGGCAACCCUGACGCAGCAACGCCGCGUGAGUGAGGAAGGUUUUCGGAUUGUAAAGCUCUGUCGAGUGGAAAGAAAUGCGUGGUGGCUAAUAUCCAUCAUGCUUGACGGUACCGCUAAAGGAAGCACCGGCUAACUCCGUGCCAGCAGCCGCGGUAAUACGGGGGGUGCAAGCGUUGUUCGGAAUUAUUGGGCGUAAAGAGCGUGUAGGCGGCUGGACAAGUCAGAUGUGAAAGCCCUGGGCUUAACCUAGGAAGUGCAUUUGAAACUGUCCGGCUUGAGUAAGGGAGAGGAAAGUGGAAUUCCUGGUGUAGAGGUGAAAUUCGUAGAUAUCAGGAGGAACACCGGUGGCGAAGGCGACUUUCUGGCCCUAUACUGACGCUGAGACGCGAAAGCGUGGGUAGCAAACAGGAUUAGAUACCCUGGUAGUCCACGCUGUAAACGAUGUUCACUAGGUGUUGGGGGUAUUGACCCUUUCAGUGCCGCAGCUAACGCAUUAAGUGAACCGCCUGGGGAGUACGGUCGCAAGAUUAAAACUCAAAGGAAUUGACGGGGGCCCGCACAA
Molecule: ribosomal RNA, 945 nt
Filed under: Syntrophaceae bacterium
Lineage: Bacteria; Pseudomonadati; Thermodesulfobacteriota; Syntrophia; Syntrophales; Syntrophaceae
Description: bacterial SSU rRNA
Rfam family: Bacterial small subunit ribosomal RNA
Source: RNAcentral